Molecule: long non-coding RNA, 289 nt
Filed under: Nicotiana benthamiana
Lineage: Eukaryota; Viridiplantae; Streptophyta; Magnoliopsida; Solanales; Solanaceae
Description: long non-coding RNA (NBEN_LNC022598)
Source: RNAcentral
AUGCCCCGGUGAGGAGUUGUGAGCGGCUGGCGAUGGUCGGCGUACGGCGAGGCAGAGGGAGGCCUAAGAGGUAUUGGGGAGAGUAAGGGUGUCUUCUGGCCCGGACCUGGGCCUAAACGGGCCUGACUGGCUGGGCUUCGCAGUCCCGGGCUUCGUAGGACUGGCCUAGCGGUCCCGGGCCUGGCGGUCCUGGUGGUUGAGACCGGCCCGUGACGGGCCUAAGCCCACAGUGAUCCUAGGCCUGGCGGGCCUAACAGGCCUGGCGGUUUUGUUUUAAGGCAAUAUCUUG